GACAGUGUGGCCGAGUGGUCUAUGGCGCUGGUUUUAAGCACCAUUCUCUUCGGAGGCAAUUUUUCGAAUCUCUUCACUGUCA
Daphnia pulex (common water flea) is the source of this 82-nucleotide non-coding RNA. NCBI's taxonomy places the organism in Eukaryota, Metazoa, Arthropoda, Branchiopoda, Diplostraca, Daphniidae. The record is from Rfam.